UGCUUCUGAAUAACAGUUGCCUCGAAACUUGGUGCUGGCUCUGGCUUUGCUGAUACCAAAAGUUGGAAGAAAAUGGCAGACUCAGUGGACUCAACUCCCCUGCCUGUAAUCGAGGAUCAUCUGGCUGUCCUUUGCCCUUCUCAGGAGCUUCUGGAGUAUUAUCAGAAGAAGGUGGCUAACUGUGAGGUAGAGAAUGAAGACCUGCUGAAGAAGUUAGAGCUCUAGAGAGAAACUUGGGAAGAGCAGCAUAAACUCAAGUGUAACUUGCAGCAGAGGGUGGAAGAUUGCUGAAUAGAAGAAAGCCCUAAGUGAUAUGCAGGUCUCCUUCUUCCUGGAAAGGGAACAUGUUUUAAGACUCUACUCAGGAAAUGACUAAGAAUCAGAGAACUGGAAGACAAGAAAAAGAUUCAGAAUAUGUAAGCUCUUGUGGGAACAGACACCAGGGAAGUGACCUAUUGUCAUUAGGAACCUCCUCACAAAGUCAGCAUUCUCCAGACGACUAUCCAGCUUCCAAAGUAGAUCCUGGAGUAAGCAAAAGAUGAGUAAGGAUAAAGGACAGAGAAGACUUUUCUGAGCACUACCAGAAGGACAUAGAGACACUCUUCCUGCAAGUGGAAGCACUUCAGACCCAACUGGGAGAGCAGACUAAGUUUUCUAGAGAUCAUGUUGAAUGACUCAUGGAGGACAGACGGAACCCGAAUUGAGGAGAUCUAAGUUCAGCACCAGAGAAAUCAAGAGAAAAAUCAAGGAGCUGACUAAGAAUCUCCAUCAAACCCAAAAACUGCUCUACCAGAGUACCAAAGACUUUCUAUAACUAAAACUUGAAAACCAAAAUAAAGAGAAGGUAUUUUUUGCUUGAGAAAGAUCACCUGAUGUCAAAGAUUAAACAGUAUGAAGUACUUUGCAAGAAGAAAGAAGAUAAACUUGGAAAAAUAGUUCCCAUUUUUCAUGAAAGUCAUCCUUCUCAAAAUGAAUAUAUUAAGUCUCCUAAGGAUAAGCUAAUACAAGAGAAAAAGCUGUCCAACAUAUACCAAGAACAGUGCAUCUCCCUAGAAGAAGAACUUCCUCUUCGUAAGGAGGAAGAAGGAGUGAGGAGAGAGAUCUUCACGAAUCACUCCAACAAGAUGGGCAAGUGGUCACAUAUAAUGACAAAACACUAUCAGGCCUUGGAGCAUUGAAAAUCCUGGGAGUAGAAGGUUUCAAGAUAGACAUUAAGGUUCUCUGACAGAAGUUGAAAGACCUGGACAAAUGUUCUAUAAGGCAACCAUGAACACUCAUGGAAAUCAGGACCUGACCAUGCUAUGUGAAGUCCAGAUAGCAAUAGAAGAACCCAUAAGAUACAAGGAGAACUGAAGAACCUCAACUCUAAAGUGUUUGGUCUGCAGAAUGAGCUUAGGCUGUGU
This 1403-nucleotide long non-coding RNA is filed under the name Mus musculus (house mouse). Its description in RNAcentral is "long non-coding RNA chr5:108821720-108823123". The record is from RNAcentral. Lineage: Eukaryota; Metazoa; Chordata; Mammalia; Rodentia; Muridae.